This is a long non-coding RNA of Scophthalmus maximus (turbot), 1072 nucleotides long. RefSeq lists it as uncharacterized. Lineage: Eukaryota; Metazoa; Chordata; Actinopteri; Pleuronectiformes; Scophthalmidae. The transcript has 6 exons. The record is from RefSeq and is a predicted model, not a curated record.
CGACAACACAGCGUCUGAUUGGUACAAAUCUCUAGCAACGCUCUGAUUGGUUAAGCAGAUCUAAGAUGGACGGCUAAAAGUCCGCGAACAGCAACACAAGCCUUUUACUUCUUGAAAAACGGGAUAAAAAUGAUCAUCAAAGCCAUUCAAUGUUGGAUUUAUCAUCACGGACAUGUUGUACAAAGUCUCCGAAAAGACACUGAAGUUCCAGGCCGCACUACAAAUCUUCUGAGAGGGCCUAGAUCUCACAGAAGCCCAGCCUGGAGCGGCGCAAGUGUUAGCUUCUCGUCAAAACAAACCUUACAUUCAACCCAGGACAGACCUCACACAGUUCCACCUACCUCCUCUACACUCACGGCUGAAGCUUGAAAGUAUCUCCAUUGGGUUGUUGCCCCACUCUAUGAGGACCAGCUCGUUGGCUUGACCUGGAACUGCAUAGGAGAAAGGUGUGCCCACUCCAGGAGAGGCGUUGGACUUGAGCCACAUGCACACGAUGUGUAGGGGACACCAGGAAGGUGAGGGACAGCAGACCUUCGACACACAGAACAUAUUUUGUCAGCUGGGAGCAGGACACACAGUUCUCCGGUGAUCGAUGGAGACAACAGCAGUAAUGGCCCUAACAGCCAGUCAAGGGGGACGAUCAGCGGCCAUCGAUCCGAGCGGCCGGGGGAUCCAGUGCGUGUGCGUUAAAGCAGUAAAUUGGAUCCAGUAAUCGCCGCAGGCAGCAAACGAGAUGAUUUCGGCAGUAAUUUGUGGAAGACAACUUUGAGAACAGCCUUGGGGAUGUUUCACCUGAUUAGAUGCAAAGAAAUGGCAAGAGGUGAGUCACCUGAAGCAGGACGCACAUGUCAACGGACGCAGCAACUCACACAACAUGAUCUGACUGAGUCCUUGCGUGUGUCACUGCGAAGUACACAGCGAACAAUGGCCUAUUGUUCCUGCCUCUGCAUUCCUCUGGUUCCAUCUUCCCCUGAGUCAGUCUAUAUACAUGUAUUUAGCUUGAUACCACACAGCAGACAUGAAUCGAGUGCUGUUGCUGUGGCUAUAAUUAAAUCCCAUAAUUGAAACCUGA